GACGUAGGGCGCGAGCGUUGUCCGGAUUUAUUGGGCGUAAAGAGCUCGUAGGCGGCUUGUCGCGUCGACUGUGAAAACCCGCGGCUCAACUGCGGGCCUGCAGCCGAUACGGGCAGGCUAGAGUUCGGUAGGGGAGACUGGAAUUCCUGGUGUAGCGGUGAAAUGCGCAGAUAUCAGGAGGAAUACCCGUGGCGAAGGCGGCCCCCUGGGCCGAACCUGACGCUGAGGCGCGAAGGCUAGGGGAGCGAACGGG
This 253-nucleotide ribosomal RNA is filed under the name uncultured bacterium. RNAcentral describes it as "partial 16S ribosomal RNA". It matches the Rfam family "Bacterial small subunit ribosomal RNA", at positions 524 to 776 of the family's 1533-position model. The record is from RNAcentral.